This 253-nucleotide ribosomal RNA is filed under the name uncultured bacterium. RNAcentral's name for it is "partial 16S ribosomal RNA". It matches the Rfam family "Bacterial small subunit ribosomal RNA", at positions 524 to 776 of the family's 1533-position model. The record is from RNAcentral.
UACAGAGGUCCCGAGCGUUGUUCGGAUUCAUUGGGCGUAAAGGGUGCGUAGGUGGCUCUGUAAGUGGGGUGUGAAAUCUCAGGGCUCAACCCUGAAACUGCAUUCGAUACUGCGCGGCUAGAGUGCUGGAGGGGAGACUGGAAUUUACGGUGUAGCAGUGAAAUGCGUAGAUAUCGUAAGGAAGACCAGUGGCGAAGGCGAGUCUCUGGACAGCAACUGACGCUGAGGCACGAAGGCCAGGGGAGCAAACGGG